RNAcentral lists this ribosomal RNA (1036 nucleotides) under Microascus globulosus. RNAcentral describes it as "SSU rRNA". It matches the Rfam family "Eukaryotic small subunit ribosomal RNA", at positions 74 to 1120 of the family's 1831-position model. Lineage: Eukaryota; Fungi; Ascomycota; Sordariomycetes; Microascales; Microascaceae. The record is from RNAcentral.
UUAUACCGCGAAACUGCGAAUGGCUCAUUAUAUAAGUUAUCGUUUAUUUGAUAGCACGUUACUACUUGGAUAACCGUGGUAAUUCUAGAGCUAAUACAUGCUAAAAACCCCGACUUCGGAAGGGGUGUAUUUAUUAGAUUAAAAGCCAACGCCCUUCGGGGCUCUGUGGUGAUUCAUGAUAACUUUUCGAAUCGCAUGGCCUUGCGCCGGCGAUGGUUCAUUCAAAUUUCUUCCCUAUCAACUUUCGAUGCGAGGGUCUUGUCCUCGCAUGGUUGCAACGGGUAACGGAGGGUUAGGGCUCGACCCCGGAGAAGGAGCCUGAGAAACGGCUACUACAUCCAAGGAAGGCAGCAGGCGCGCAAAUUACCCAAUCCCGACACGGGGAGGUAGUGACAAUAAAUACUGAUACAGGGCUCUUUAGGGUCUUGUAAUCGGAAUGAGUACAAUUUAAAUCCCUUAACGAGGAACAAUUGGAGGGCAAGUCUGGUGCCAGCAGCCGCGGUAAUUCCAGCUCCAAUAGCGUAUAUUAAAGUUGUUGUGGUUAAAAAGCUCGUAGUCGAACCUUGGGCCUGGCCGGCCGGUCCCCCUCACCGGGUGCACUGAUCCGGCCGGGCCUUUCCCUCUGUGGAACCCCAUGGCCUUCACUGGCUGUGCGGGGGAAACAGGACUUUUACUGUGAAAAAAUUAGAGUGCUCCAGGCAGGCCUAUGCUCGAAUACAUUAGCAUGGAAUAAUAGAAUAGGACGCGUGGUUCUAUUUUGUUGGUUUCUAGGACCGCCGUAAUGAUUAAUAGGGACAGUCGGGGGCAUCAGUAUUCAAUUGUCAGAGGUGAAAUUCUUGGAUCUAUUGAAGACUAACUACUGCGAAAGCAUUUGCCAAGGAUGUUUUCAUUGAUAAGGAACGAAAGUUAGGGGAUCGAAGACGAUCAGAUACCGUCGUAGUCUUAACUAUAAACUAUGCCGACUAGGGAUCGGACGAUGUUAUUUCUUGACGCGUUCGGCACCUUUCGAGAAAUCAAAGUGCUUGGGCUCCAGGGG